RNAcentral lists this ribosomal RNA (433 nucleotides) under Campylobacter jejuni. RNAcentral describes it as "partial 23S ribosomal RNA". It matches the Rfam family "Bacterial large subunit ribosomal RNA", at positions 2192 to 2624 of the family's 2925-position model. The record is from RNAcentral. Lineage: Bacteria; Pseudomonadati; Campylobacterota; Epsilonproteobacteria; Campylobacterales; Campylobacteraceae.
UUGAGAUACCACUCUUUCUUAUUUGGGUAGCUAACCAGCUUGAGUUAUCCUCAAGUGGGACAAUGUCUGGUGGGUAGUUUGACUGGGGCGGUCGCCUCCCAAAUAAUAACGGAGGCUUACAAAGGUUGGCUCAGAACGGUUGGAAAUCGUUCGUAGAGUAUAAAGGUAUAAGCCAGCUUAACUGCAAGACAUACAAGUCAAGCAGAGACGAAAGUCGGUCUUAGUGAUCCGGUGGUUCUGUGUGGAAGGGCCAUCGCUCAAAGGAUAAAAGGUACCCCGGGGAUAACAGGCUGAUCUCCCCCAAGAGCUCACAUCGACGGGGAGGUUUGGCACCUCGAUGUCGGCUCAUCGCAUCCUGGGGCUGGAGCAGGUCCCAAGGGUAUGGCUGUUCGCCAUUUAAAGCGGUACGCGAGCUGGGUUCAGAACGUCGUGA